CCUCUAUUAUAUAGAAGGUGAAGCCUGCCCAAUGGUAUAAAAAUAAUUAUAAUCUAGUUUAAAUAUUAUUUAAUGGAUGCAGUAACUCUGACUGUAAUAAAGUAGCAUAAUUAGUUGUCAUUUAAUUGAUGGAGAGAAUGAAUGGUUACACGAAUAUUUCACUGUCUUAAAAAAAAUUUUUUAAAAUUGAAAUAAUAGUUAAGAUGCUAUUUAAAAUUGUAAGACGAAGAGACCCUAUAGAGCUUUACUAUAAAUUUUCUUUUUUCUAAAAAUAUAAAAAUUAUUUGAUUUAGAGAAUUUGGUAGUUUAGUUGGGGCGACUGUUUUUUAAAAAUAACAAAAAUAAGCAAUAUAAUAAUAUUAUUUAUUGUAUAAUUAAACAAUUUAACAAUUACUAUAGUAGGCUAUAAUGACCCGUUAUAAUAACAAAAAAUAAAUAACGAUUAAUUGAUAAAAGCUACCUUAGGGAUAACAGGAUAAUUUUGUUUUAGAGUCCAUAUCAAAAACAAAGUUUGUCACCUCUAUGUUGAAUUAAGAUAUCCUAAUAAUGCAGUAGUUAUUAAGGGUAGGUCUGUUCGACCUUUAAAAU
Molecule: ribosomal RNA, 588 nt
Filed under: Hydra utahensis
Lineage: Eukaryota; Metazoa; Cnidaria; Hydrozoa; Anthoathecata; Hydridae
Description: partial 16S ribosomal RNA
Rfam family: Bacterial large subunit ribosomal RNA
Source: RNAcentral